RNAcentral lists this long non-coding RNA (650 nucleotides) under Populus trichocarpa (black cottonwood). RNAcentral describes it as "long non-coding RNA (PTRI_LNC001591)". The record is from RNAcentral. Lineage: Eukaryota; Viridiplantae; Streptophyta; Magnoliopsida; Malpighiales; Salicaceae.
GCGUCCUCUUCCUCUCUAUCUCUUCUUUCUCAUUGAAGUGCUGGUUUUGAUUUGGUAUUUAAUUGAUCACGGCUAUCAUUUUAUCAUUGCUUAAGCAUGCCUUUGAGUGGAUUGUUGAUACUGUUUAUAAGUGACGGGUUUGUUUGUAGUCUCUUUUAUGUUGUUUGUUACUAUAAUCGGGAAAACUUAAGAUGAUCCUUUUUUUUUUCUCUACAAAUCUCACUGAACUGUGAUUUUUCUCAUAUUAGUGAUUCUUGUAGGGAUAAGUUGAAUGAUUCGAAAACCAUUUCCUCAAAACUUCAUCAUGGAUUGCUAAUUUUCUGUGAUUACCAAGAGAACUUAUGUUGAAUUACUGUCUUUAUAUGCAUGCAGUAAUUUUAUCUUUUUUGUUUCUGCUAUGUUCAGAGUUCCUGUCUAUGGCUAUGUCGGUUGGACCGGUUGAGAAUGAAGCAUCGUUAAGUAGUGAUCUCUUCUAUGAUAUAUUGAGGCGUCUUGAUGGCCCCACAUUGGCCAGUGCAGCUUGUGCUUGUGCUGCGUUCUGUUCCAUUUCAAAAGAAGAGAAAUUGUGGGAUAAUGUUUGUUCUUCUAUGUGGCCUUCCACGAACAGGGAAGAUGUUAGAAGUUUAAUAUCGUCAAUUGGUGGAUUCAGA